Molecule: ribosomal RNA, 186 nt
Filed under: uncultured bacterium
Lineage: Bacteria
Description: partial 16S ribosomal RNA
Rfam family: Bacterial small subunit ribosomal RNA
Source: RNAcentral
CCUUCAUGAAGCCGGAAUUGCUAGUAAUGGCAGGUCAGCAUACUGCCGUGAAUACGUUCCCGGGCCUUGUACACACCGCCCGUCACACCAUGAGAGUUGGGGAUACCCGAAGCCUGUGAGCCAACUGUAAAGAGGCAGCAGUCGAAGGUAGAAUCAAUGAUUGGGGUGAAGUCGUAACAAGGUAUC